GACGAACGCUGGCGGCGUGCUUAACACAUGCAAGUCGAACGGAAAGGCCCUGCUUUUGUGGGGUGCUCGAGUGGCGAACGGGUGAGUAACACGUGAGUAACCUGCCCUUGACUUUGGGAUAACUUCAGGAAACUGGGGCUAAUACCGGAUAGGAGCUCCUGCUGCAUGGUGGGGGUUGGAAAGUUUCGGCGGUUGGGGAUGGACUCGCGGCUUAUCAGCUUGUUGGUGGGGUAGUGGCUUACCAAGGCUUUGACGGGUGGCCGGCCUGGGGGGGUGACCGGCCAAAUGGGGACUGGGUUACGGCCCAGACUCCUACGGGGGGAGGCAGUGGGGAUUAUUGCACAAGGGGCGGAGGCCUGAUGCAGCAACGCCGCGUGCGGAAGGACGGCCUUCGGGUUGUAAACCGCUUUCGCCUGUGACGAAGCGUGAGUGACGGAAAUGGGUAAAGAAGCACCGGCUAACUACGU
Molecule: ribosomal RNA, 467 nt
Filed under: uncultured bacterium
Lineage: Bacteria
Description: partial 16S ribosomal RNA
Rfam family: Bacterial small subunit ribosomal RNA
Source: RNAcentral